GUCAUUAUAUAAGCUCAGUUGGUUAGAGCGUCGCACUGGUAUCACGAGGUCACGGGUUCAAACCCCGUUGAAGUCCUGACU
This 81-nucleotide transfer RNA is filed under the name Acropora cervicornis. RNAcentral's name for it is "tRNA-Thr". It matches the Rfam family "tRNA". Rfam says of the family: Transfer RNA (tRNA) molecules are approximately 80 nucleotides in length. The record is from RNAcentral. Lineage: Eukaryota; Metazoa; Cnidaria; Anthozoa; Scleractinia; Acroporidae.